Molecule: ribosomal RNA, 497 nt
Filed under: uncultured bacterium
Lineage: Bacteria
Description: bacterial SSU rRNA
Rfam family: Bacterial small subunit ribosomal RNA
Source: RNAcentral
GAGUUUGAACCUGGCUCAGGAUGAACGCUAGCGACAGGCUUAACACAUGCAAGUCGAGGGGCAGCAGGGGCGUAGCAAUACGCCUGCUGGCGACCGGCGCACGGGUGAGUAACACGUAUGAAACCUGCCCGUAGCAGGGGGAUAAGCGGAAGAAAUUCCGUCUAAUACCGCGUAAUAACCGUUUGGGGCAUCCCUUAUGGUUUAAAGGAGUGAUCCGGCUACGGAUGGUCAUGCGUCGCAUUAGCUAGUCGGCGGGGUAACGGCCCACCGAGGCGACGAUGCGUAGGGGUUCUGAGAGGAAGGUCCCCCACACUGGUACUGAGACACGGACCAGACUCCUACGGGAGGCAGCAGUGAGGAAUAUUGGUCAAUGGCCGGAAGGCUGAACCAGCCAAGUCGCGUGAGGGAAGACGGCCCUAUGGGUUGUAGACCUCUUUUGUCGGGGAGCAAAGGCCGCCACGUGUGGCGGAUUGAGAGUACCCGAAGAAAAAGCAUCG